This is a long non-coding RNA of Mangifera indica (mango), 590 nucleotides long. RefSeq lists it as uncharacterized. Lineage: Eukaryota; Viridiplantae; Streptophyta; Magnoliopsida; Sapindales; Anacardiaceae. The transcript is spliced from 3 exons. The record is from RefSeq and is a predicted model, not a curated record.
AGGUCUGAGUUGGAAUUGAAAUAACUUGAGUAUUCAUGCAACUUCAAAGGUUUACUUGGAGAAUGAAGCUCUAGACAGGUCAGAGGGGAGUUGCCAUACUCAAUGUGUAUAUGUUCCUUGGUUUUGGUUUUCUUGGGACUGUUGCUCCUGACUUUGGUGAUUUGACAAGUCGAGAAAAACAACUUGAAGGAACCUUUAGCCAUGUUUUUUUUACCAGGUGAUUUUAUAACUCUGAAUCUUUACUAGCAACCUUUGGGCAAUGGACAAGGUUGUAGGUGAAUAAUUUCAUGUCAUUGUACUGGUUAUAUUCUUUCGGGUUCCCCCAGCUGAGUUGGAACAUUUACAUCAAUCCAAUCCUGAAAUUGCUGAUGCUGCUGUCAUUUCGAUCAUGACUAUGUGAAACUACUAACUUUCUCGCCAGAUCUCAAAUACGACAAAACAUUCUCUUGUUCAGUGCUUCUGAACAUUAUCUCAAGCAGAAAUUUUCAUGUUGUUUGGUGAAACAACAGUGCAUGUAUGGUUUAUGUGAUAUAUCCUAAGAUGACUUUAUCUACAUGAAUCUGGAAUUUCUUAAUCACUUUAACCACUUA